GUUAUUCUCUACUCAUUCUUUCCACAGAGCCUCUCCGCGAAGGGCUGCCUCCCGGGGCUCCGGGACAUGGGGCGACCUAGAACUCCCUGGCUGUCUCCGUAGUCUCACCCAGGACGUCGGUGGAGCAGCGCGACCCCGUCCGAGUCCUCCGGGCUCUGCUCUCCCUUUGUCUGCUCUGUUCUCUCAAGGAGUGUCCACGGUACAAGCCGCCGCCCCGUGACCGUGAUCACCGUCGCGCUGCGCAGGGAGGCCGAAGCCCCAGGUCGGCUGCGCCGCCUGGAAGUACCUACGGGAUGAAGCAGCCGCGACCCGAGCUGUCUUCCGAAGGGCCCGCUGCGGCACCGCGCCUGUCCUCGGAGCCCGGCCCCGCCGGCCGCGAUUCUGUUCCAGCAACGCCGGGAGCUGGAGCCCUGCGCGGGGAUCCAAAGCAGAUCCGGCCCCUCUCCUGUUUUCUGUCCUUUCUGUCCCGGGCGCAGCUCCCACCCCAGGGCUUUGCCAUUUACCAGCACCGUGGAAACUGGGCUCUUCCCGUGGCUCAGGGCUGCCUUUCCUGACCCUUUGUGCCCCACUCGGCUCUUCCUCAAGGAGGAUGGUGUGUCUCCGGGGCCUGGUCGGCCCCCCAGGCUCCAGCCCCGACCCAGUCCCCAGGGCACAGCAGCAGAGCUGAAUAAAGGCGGUGCCGUGCUGAUUGCUGCA
Heterocephalus glaber (naked mole-rat) is the source of this 696-nucleotide long non-coding RNA. RefSeq lists it as uncharacterized. The record is from RefSeq and is a predicted model, not a curated record. Lineage: Eukaryota; Metazoa; Chordata; Mammalia; Rodentia; Bathyergidae.